This is a long non-coding RNA of Oncorhynchus kisutch (coho salmon), 2479 nucleotides long. RefSeq lists it as uncharacterized. The transcript is spliced from 4 exons. The record is from RefSeq and is a predicted model, not a curated record. NCBI's taxonomy places the organism in Eukaryota, Metazoa, Chordata, Actinopteri, Salmoniformes, Salmonidae.
ACGUGUUAGGAUGGGCCCGAAUGAGAUAAAGCAUAGGAAUUUCUCCCUGUGUCAUUUUCAUAACAUCUACUAGUGAGGCAGUCAGUGGAGGAGAGGCGGUUUAUUUUGAGGGACCCGUGCGAAGUUGCCAGCCAAGUGACAGAACAGAGUGGAUUCUCAAAGCGACAAAACUAAAGCACUGCUCCGAGUGCUCUGUUUGACUUUGACCGCUCAAAUACAUCUGGCGAUCCAGCUAAUGCUCCUGGGGGUAGGAGCUUUAAUCAUAAUAAUUGUAACAACGAUGCAAGGGCAAUCUAAAGUACAACACUUUUGUGUAUAGUUAUACCUAAAUAAGGCAACCGAAUAUCUGCUUGUUUCGAUCGAGGGUGUAUGAAUUAACAAAUAUGUGUAGAUGUUGCAAUAGCUUUUUUGCAUCGAACUGAGAAUGCUGACCAAUAGAUGUUGCAAAAUGUUCGUUGUUACGUGUCCUCAUUUGAGCCAUUUCAUAAAUAGGAGACUAUAACUGAUUCUGUUCCAAUACUGUCCGUAGAUAUCUUAGAGACAUAUGAUACUGUAUCACAGUAGAUAUAUUAGAGACAUAUGAUACUGUAUCACAGUAGAUAUAUUAGAGACAUAUGAUACUGUAUCACAGUAGAUAUAUUAGAGACAUAUGAUACUGUAUCACAGUAGAUAUAUUAGAGACACAGUAUAUUACUGUACAUUAUCUCAAACAGACAGUUGUAUGUCUCCGGAAAAGGGGGGGAAGCAGGACCCUUACAGAACGUAUGAAGCCUCCCGUCUGAAUCGCCCCAUUUCCAUUGGCAGAAAUCUCCAUCUGAUUAAAGGGUUAAAGGGUGGCCAUGCCACUUUUUGACAGUGGCGAUUCAACAUGGUGCCAAAGCCCCAAGCCCUUCUAAUGUGAUAGAGCGUGUCCAAGGGUCUUCCAAGACACCCAUAAAAGCAACAUCUGAAGUGCAUACUGGCCCAUCGUGGGGGAUGUCAGCAUGGGGAGGGUGGGAUUGCUGAUCUCCUGAAUGUAUUGCCUGAAAGCUAUCUAACAUGGAUGCCGUAACAGACAGCUUUGAAGUCAAAGGGAGGCUGGUGAUAUGGUACAUAGGGCACCACAUUAACACAGGAUGGCUCAGCCCACAGAAGAACGCUGUCAUUUUUCAUCAUACCCCAAAUGGAUUGGGUAUCUACAGGAUUUAUUGAAGAGCAAAACCAUUCACAAGACCUCAAGGUUUCUGUCUGUAAUGCCAAGGACAUGAAGUUAACUGUGUGGCGGAUGCUCUUACAUUGCAUUCUGUCAAACCGCCUUGCCAUUGUCACAACCUGGACUGGGGCAGAGCAUAAGGCCUGUUUCAGGGACUUGUUUCUGAAGACCAUUCUUCACAAAGCCAUUCGGAAGAACCUGCAACCCAAGAUGCCAUGGAUAAGGGGGUCCAGAUUAAGGUCACCCUUUAGCUGAAAGGGGCCUCCGAUUGUGAAGGCGGGAGAAGGCGGCGGACAGGGGAGAGGGAUCGGCUGCAGUGAAGGUCAGCAUCAAGUCUCGGACCACCAAUCUCAAAACCAGCCUCUACCCCCAAGCCACAAGACUGAUCCAACAGCUGAACCCUGGGCUGACUCCUGCACCCUACCACACACUUACCAUUUAUUCAUAUUCUGUACGCACUUAAAUUACUUUAGUCUACCAGACCAAUGAAAUAGUUAUGUCACAUAACUGCACUGUAGUUAUUCCACUAAGCACAUGGGCAAAAAAAAAAGUCCAUACUAUAUGAAUGUAGGCUAUUUUGAUUUUUAUCUUAAGGCUAUUUUGGUUUGAUCUUAUUCUUAUUUACAUCUUAUUUUCUUUGAUCUGCAUGCUUCUUUUUGCACUUGUUUUGAUUGUUUUAUUGUUAGUACGUCGCAUAGUCAAGGAACUAUGACACAUUGAUUGCAGUCAGUUUUGUUCCCAUUGCACUGUGUGAGAAGCCUAUCUAUAUUAUUAUUCGUUCAAAUGGACAUGGCAUCCAAUCUAUCUUAAAUAAUAAACGUAAAUGAAUAAAUAAGUGGAGAAAGGGAGUGAAGGGUGGGUGAAGGGCGGGUGGGCUGUGUGAGGAAAACGACACUUGAACGGCAGGAGCACGGCUGCCGCUUGACAAAGUGGCAUAUCGCGGGCGCCCCAUGAGGCGAUGGGUACUCUGGAGGGACGCCGGCCACCCGAUUGCUCAUUGCUAACUGGGUUGCAAAGUGCAAAUAAAUGUUAAUUCAGGUUAGGGGGAGUUCCCGCUUGAAUUUGAUUAAAAGGGCAGUGAAUUCGCUCAUACUUUGAGAACUUGUUAGCAAGCUCCUGACACACAUCCUUUUUCUCUCUGAGAUUAUCAUUAACAAAAGACACGUGGAACCACUUUAAGUCUCAUUUAGUUAAUAGUCAUUUGCUCUGUGUUAUUAUGUGAUGUAUCAUAUAUUUCAUGUACACUGUAAUAGUUUAGUGUCAAUUAUUUCAUGACUAAUAAAUCCU